GCCUGGGUGGCGGAAGUGGUAGACGCAAGGGACUUAAAAUCCCUCGGCGCUGAGCGCUGUACGGGUUCGAUUCCCGUCCCAGGCA
RNAcentral lists this transfer RNA (85 nucleotides) under Pseudomonadota bacterium. Its description in RNAcentral is "Proteobacteria bacterium (hot springs metagenome) tRNA-Leu". It matches the Rfam family "tRNA". Rfam says of the family: Transfer RNA (tRNA) molecules are approximately 80 nucleotides in length. Their secondary structure includes four short double-helical elements and three loops (D, anti-codon, and T loops). The record is from RNAcentral. Lineage: Bacteria; Pseudomonadati; Pseudomonadota.